Molecule: transfer RNA, 83 nt
Filed under: Canis lupus dingo (dingo)
Lineage: Eukaryota; Metazoa; Chordata; Mammalia; Carnivora; Canidae
Rfam family: tRNA
About the family: Transfer RNA (tRNA) molecules are approximately 80 nucleotides in length. Their secondary structure includes four short double-helical elements and three loops (D, anti-codon, and T loops).
Source: Rfam by way of RNAcentral
GCCUGGUUGGCUCAGUGGUUGAGCGUCUGCCUUUGGCCCAGGAUGUGAUCCUAGAGUCCUGGGAUCGAGUCCCACAUUGGGCU